AGUUUAUAAAUAUACAACCUUUGACUGCUUGUUUUCAGUUGAACUUUUGCAAAGCUGAGGAGAUUUUGGCUGCGAUCACAUCAAGUCCAAAGAUGUUUAAACUUCUUUUUCACAGAAAGAAAUCACACAAACAAAACGUGGCAGAGAAGGAAAUUCCUUCUACGUCUCAUCAGAGCAUCCCGGAUGCUCCUGUUACUGAAAAUGGUCAAAAGAAGAAGAGAAAAUGGAGACACCUCUGCUGUUCCUCGCAAACUGACAGCGAUGCAGAGGCAGAGAGCAACACUGUGAAGACACAAAAAAAAGUGUCGCUGGUUUCUUUUUAAAUUCUGGAAGAAAUUACACAAACAAAACGUGGCAGAGAAGGAAAUUCCUUCUACGUCUCAUCAGAGCAUCCCGGAUGCUUCUGUUGCUGCCACACCAG
This is a non-coding RNA of Maylandia zebra (zebra mbuna), 421 nucleotides long. The record is from RefSeq and is a predicted model, not a curated record. NCBI's taxonomy places the organism in Eukaryota, Metazoa, Chordata, Actinopteri, Cichliformes, Cichlidae.